This 239-nucleotide long non-coding RNA is filed under the name Musa acuminata (dwarf banana). RNAcentral describes it as "long non-coding RNA (MACU_LNC005756)". Lineage: Eukaryota; Viridiplantae; Streptophyta; Magnoliopsida; Zingiberales; Musaceae. The record is from RNAcentral.
UCUGAUGUUUCAGUUCCUAUAGGGACUCCCACUUCUUGUUCUUCUAUAGGACUUAUCUCCAUCAAUGCUGCCACGUUGAUCCCCUUUAAGUUAUCAAAGGGUGGCAACUAUGCGUCCUGGCGAGCUCAAUUUUCUAAUCUUUUAUUUGGAUACGACUUGUUAGGUUACAUUGAUGGCUCUUUCAGUUGUCCUCCGGCCAUGCUCAACAUCCCCGGCGAUCCCAGUCCAGUACCCAAUCC